UACAUUUUAGUGUAUGGGGCACAAAAAUUUUUGAUGUUUUUGGGAAUAGUUUAAAUCUAUUGAAUGUAG
RNAcentral lists this transfer RNA (69 nucleotides) under Salganea incerta. RNAcentral's name for it is "tRNA-Gln". The record is from RNAcentral. Lineage: Eukaryota; Metazoa; Arthropoda; Insecta; Blattodea; Blaberidae.